UAAUAAGUGUUUUAUGGCACUUUUAAAUCCAUAUCCAACCUUGUGUGCAAUGUCAGUCGAUCUUCUUCAUGGAGAUCGACCACCACCAAACAUCAACCUUUAUUCUUUUAACUCUUUGUCUGAAAAAUAUUAUGAAUUAAACAAUUCAAAAUA
RNAcentral lists this unclassified non-coding RNA (153 nucleotides) under soil metagenome. RNAcentral's name for it is "partial internal transcribed spacer 1". The record is from RNAcentral.